UAAUAAUAAUUAUCAGAAAAAGUUCAUAUUUUUCAUAAUCAAAGAGAGAGACGAGUGUUUUUUGUGAAAUGAAACUCAGGGAGACAUAAAAGUUUGCAUCUUGAAUAGAUAUAUUAAGAGGCACUCUGUCUGAACAAAGAUGAGCGACCAAGGUCCACCUACCAUUAGGCAUACCUACAGAAGUUUAUGAUUUCUUUGCGUACAUUCCUGGGUACGAUCAUAUCGUCCAAACCUGAUGAUGCUCAGAUCGAAAUCGUCGAUGGUGGAAAGACUUCAUAUGCUAGCUUGGUGGAAAAACCACACGGUCGUGUCAGACUCUGUGAAGGGCACUAACUGGAAAAAAUACAUGGGCUGGAUAAGAGACCAAGGACCUCAUAGUGACAUCUCUUUACUAAACCAAUGUUUCUAUUUUGUUAUCUUGAAUAUUUGACUGAAAGUUUUCUCAUCACUUUCAAUAUUUUUUUUGGCAGAUACUUGCUGGGCUAUAGUGGUUGAUUAGUGCACUAAGAUUCAUUUUAAAAUAUGAUGCAACAUACACUGAUUAUUCUGCUCAGUAUCUGGUAGAUUAUGCUGACCAAUCAAAGGGAUUAAUGGCAAACCACUCAAGAAAAGGGCAUUAUUGUUAUACACACUCUAUAGCGAAAGGCUUAGAGUUUGUAAAGCAUGGAGGGAUACCAUUGGCAAAACAUUGCAAGUACGUAGGUUGUAAGAAAGCCGACCGCUUAUCGUCCACCAAAGGAUCAUUCUCAUCGCUUCGGUACAACGACGAAGGUCUUCCGUAGAUGACGCAAUUGACUCCAUUCCUUGCCAUUAUUGGGAUCAUCAAGACUUAAUUCUGUUAAUUGUAUAUUGAAUGAUUUGGAUAUAUAUAUGUUUAUCAAGACUUUUGAGUUUUCCAGUCGAAUGCAUUGAACACAGACAAGAUCUAAUAGGUACAAAAACAAAAUCUGAUUACAUGUUUCCCAUAAUCUUUGUAAGGGACCCCAUUAGGUCGGAACUUGUAGACAAUUGAGAAGACAGGUGUAAGAUGCAGUUAUGGGAGUUUCAGAGGUCAGACACAUGCAUUGUUGCUUUGACUUUCUUCCGUUGACUCUAGACAUAGUUGUUGUCUUCUAAUCUGGAGUCUUACAAAGAAUAAAUCCCCCUAAUCUAAAAAAAAA
Arabidopsis lyrata subsp. lyrata is the source of this 1160-nucleotide long non-coding RNA. RefSeq lists it as uncharacterized. The record is from RefSeq and is a predicted model, not a curated record. Lineage: Eukaryota; Viridiplantae; Streptophyta; Magnoliopsida; Brassicales; Brassicaceae. The transcript is spliced from 4 exons.